UGAGGAAUAUUGCACAAUGGGCGCAAGCCUGAUGCAGCGACGCCGCGUGGGUGACGAAGGCCUUCGGAUCGUAAAGCCCUUUUCUGCGUGACGAGACAGGACGGUAGCGCAGGAAUAAGUCUCGGCUAACUACGUGCCAGCAGCCGCGGUAAAACGUAGGAGACAAACGUUAUCCGGAGUUACUGGGCGUAAAGGGCGUGUAGGCGGUUGGUUAAGUCUGGCGUGAAAGCUCUCGGCUAAACCGGGAGAGGUCGUUGGAUACUGGCGAACUAGAGGAUGGUAGAGGCGUGUGGAAUUCCGGGUGUAGUGGUGAAAUGCGUAGAGAUCCGGAGGAACACCAGUGGCGAAGGCGACACGCUGGGCCAUACCUGACGCUAAAGCGCGACAGCAUGGGGAGCAAAC
RNAcentral lists this ribosomal RNA (402 nucleotides) under uncultured bacterium. RNAcentral's name for it is "bacterial SSU rRNA". It matches the Rfam family "Bacterial small subunit ribosomal RNA", at positions 355 to 773 of the family's 1533-position model. The record is from RNAcentral.